UCCUCGUUAGUGUAGUGGUGAGUAUCCCCACCUGUCAUGCGGGAGACCAGGGUUCAAUCCUGACAGGGAG
Molecule: transfer RNA, 70 nt
Filed under: Ovis aries (sheep)
Lineage: Eukaryota; Metazoa; Chordata; Mammalia; Artiodactyla; Bovidae
Rfam family: tRNA
About the family: Transfer RNA (tRNA) molecules are approximately 80 nucleotides in length. Their secondary structure includes four short double-helical elements and three loops (D, anti-codon, and T loops).
Source: Rfam by way of RNAcentral